RNAcentral lists this ribosomal RNA (253 nucleotides) under uncultured prokaryote. RNAcentral's name for it is "partial 16S ribosomal RNA". It matches the Rfam family "Bacterial small subunit ribosomal RNA", at positions 525 to 777 of the family's 1533-position model. The record is from RNAcentral.
ACGAAGGGGGCUAGCGUUGUUCGGAAUCACUGGGCGUAAAGCGCACGUAGGCGGAUGUGUCAGUCAGGGGUGAAAUCCCGGGGCUCAACCUCGGAACUGCCUUUGAUACAGCACGUCUUGAGUCCGAUAGAGGUGGGUGGAAAUCCUAGUGUAGAGGUGAAAUUCGUAGAUAUUAGGAAGAACACCGGUGGCGAAGGCGGCCCACUGGAUCGGUACUGACGCUGAGGUGCGAAAGCGUGGGGAGCAAACAGGA